Molecule: ribosomal RNA, 439 nt
Filed under: uncultured bacterium
Lineage: Bacteria
Description: partial 16S ribosomal RNA
Rfam family: Bacterial small subunit ribosomal RNA
Source: RNAcentral
CUACGGGUUGCAGCAGUGAGGAAUAUUGCACAAUGGGGGGAACCCUGAUGCAGCAACGCCGCGUGGAGGAUGACGCAUUUCGGAGUGUAAACUCCUUUUAUAUGUCAAGAAAAUGACGGUAGCAUAUGAAUAAGCACCGGCUAACUCCGUGCCAGCAGCCGCGGUAAUACGGAGGGUGCAAGCGUUACUCGGAAUCACUGGGCGUAAAGGACGCGUAGGCGGGUUGGAAAGUCAGGUGUGAAAUCCUACAGCUUAACUGUAGAACUGCACUUGAAACUUCUAAUCUAGAGUAUGGGAGGGGGAGAUGGAAUUACUGGUGUAGGGGUAAAAUCCGUAGAUAUCACUAGGAAUACCUAAAGCGAAGGCGAUCUCCUGGAACAUUACUGACGCUAAGGCGUGAAAGCGUGGGGAGCAAACAGGAUUAGAUACCCCCGUAGUC